This 206-nucleotide ribosomal RNA is filed under the name Klebsiella grimontii. RNAcentral describes it as "partial 23S ribosomal RNA". It matches the Rfam family "Bacterial large subunit ribosomal RNA", at positions 1552 to 1756 of the family's 2925-position model. Lineage: Bacteria; Pseudomonadati; Pseudomonadota; Gammaproteobacteria; Enterobacterales; Enterobacteriaceae. The record is from RNAcentral.
AACGCUGAGGUGUGAUGACGAGGCACUACGGUGCUGAAGUGACAAAUGCCCUGCUUCCAGGAAAAGCCUCUAAGCAUCAGGUAACAUCAAAUCGUACCCCAAACCGACACAGGUGGUCAGGUAGAGAAUACCAAGGCGCUUGAGAGAACUCGGGUGAAGGAACUAGGCAAAAUGGUGCCGUAACUUCGGGAGAAGGCACGCUGAUA